GGGGGGACAAAACCUUGGCAAUAAAUAUGCAUAGACAAGAAAAACAAAUUCUCUCAUUGACCAUGUUCAGUAAAUAUAUGUUUCGAUCCGCACUCUUGAGUCCAUCCCUUCUCAAUCAGGAGGAGAAGAGUAGCAUGCUUUCAUGACAAGCCCUCUGGAAUCAUGGUUGGUCAUUCAAAGUUCAUUCAAAACUCAUCAGUAGCCCUGAUUUGUUUGGAUCCCACAGAACAUCAUGCCUCCCCUAGUAUAAUGCUCAUCACUUAACAUCUCAUCUCCAUCCUAAUGGACCCAGUUUUUGAUACCCAACAUCUUCUUUAGGUCCUCAGUUGCCUCUCCCCUAUGAUUGGAGAGCUAGAGAGUAAAGCAGUAAACUCCUUCCUUUCUGGAGGGCUCAGAACUUUCCAUGUUAUGCUUCAUUUUUCAUUAACAGCUCUGAUUGGCUUCUACUUCAUAGAACAUCAUUCUUCUGACUCAGGCACCACCUGGUGGAACACCCCAACUUUCUUUUUAUUUUGUGGAUCCACUGAGGAAAGUGCCUGGCACAUUUUAAGGGUUUAAUAAAUAUUUGUGGAAUUGAAUUACAACUAUUAUCAUGCUUCUCUCCAUUAGAACUUACAUUCUAAUCAGGAAGACAAUACUGAAUUCAUUAUCUUCCUAUCCACCCCCAAACUCUACCCCCUAUCAAACUUUCUUCUUACUAUUGAGGGUACUAACAUCCUUCCAAGUCACCCAGGCUUACAACCUAAAUUUCAUCCUUGAGUUCUCACUCUUUCUCAUUCUCUAUAGCCAAUCCAUUGCCAAGAUAUCUCAAUUUUACUUUUGUAACAUCUCUUGCACACACCCCUUCCCAAGAAGACCAACACCGUGUAGGGACCCUCCUUUUAGUGUCCAUUGUAGUAGACCACUCCCUGAUACCCCAUCUCUGCCUCCUGGCUUCCUUAAAUUUUCAGUUAAAUUCCCACUUUCUACAAAAAGCCUUUACUGAUCUCUUAAUGUUAGUGCCUUUUCCCUUGUAUGUAGUUUGUGUGUACAUAGUUCUUUACAUGCUAUCUCUAUGAAGAUGGGAUUAACUCUCCCCUGCCCACUUUUAGAUUUAGUCACUAAAAGUGUAUACACUCCCACAUUUCCUUAAGUGAGGGGCAGUCCACAACCCACGUCCUAAACUAGGUGACAACUCAGAAACCGACUGCUAAAACUGUGAUUGGAAGGAAGUGGAAGGCACAGGAAGUGAUACAAAGAAGGGUCUUUAAAAGUAGUUGCAACUUCCUGUGACCAGGUUUUUUUUUUUUCCUUCCAUCUUGGCCUUGAAGGAACUCUGGCUUAGGACCUCAGACUGCUUCUGGUAAGACUGCUCUGGGAUCUUCUCCCCUUGGACUUUGGAUUGAAUCAUCUCAACUGGUGAUCCUCUCAGAGAUACUGUUCCUAGAGUCCCAGAGCCCUUGGCUCUGUGUGUUUUUUUUAGGCACUUGGCUGUAUGGUGGUAGAAUAUUGAACACUAUUGCUUUCCUGAUUAAAGACUUGGUUUAGCUGACUA
Monodelphis domestica (gray short-tailed opossum) is the source of this 1534-nucleotide long non-coding RNA. RefSeq lists it as uncharacterized. NCBI's taxonomy places the organism in Eukaryota, Metazoa, Chordata, Mammalia, Didelphimorphia, Didelphidae. The record is from RefSeq and is a predicted model, not a curated record.